RNAcentral lists this ribosomal RNA (614 nucleotides) under [Candida] santamariae var. membranifaciens. RNAcentral describes it as "partial small subunit ribosomal RNA". The stretch from base 224 to 377 matches the Rfam family "5.8S ribosomal RNA". Lineage: Eukaryota; Fungi; Ascomycota; Pichiomycetes; Serinales; Debaryomycetaceae. The record is from RNAcentral.
CUUCCGUANGGGUAACCUGCGGAAGGAUCAUUACAGUAUUCUUUUGCCUGCGCUUAAUUGCGCGGCGAAAAACCUUACACACUUGUUUUUCUUAUUUGAAACUAUUGCUUUGGUCUGUCUUAGAAAUAAGUUGGGCCAAAGGUUUACACCAAACUUCAAUAUUUAUAUUGAAUUGUUAUUUUAAUUAUUUGUCAAUUUGUUGAUUAAAUUCAAAAAUCUUCAAAACUUUCAACAACGGAUCUCUUGGUUCUCGCAUCGAUGAAGAACGCAGCGAAAUGCGAUAAGUAAUAUGAAUUGCAGAUUUUCGUGAAUCAUCGAAUCUUUGAACGCACAUUGCGCCCUUUGGUAUUCCAAAGGGCAUGCCUGUUUGAGCGUCAUUUCUCUCUCAAAUCUUCGGAUUUGGUUUUGAGUGAUACUCUUAGUCAGACUAAGCGUUUGCUUGAAAUGUAUUGGCAUGAGUGGUACUAGAUAGUGCUGAACUGUUUCAAUGUAUUAGGUUUAUCCAACUCGUUGACCAGUAAAGUAUUUGUUUAUUACACAGGCUCGGCCUUACAACAACAAACAAAGUUUGACCUCAAAUCAGGUAGGACUACCCGCUGAACUUAAGCAUAUCA